UGGGGGAUAUUGCGCAAUGGGGGCAACCCUGACGCAGCAACGCCGCGUGAAGGAUGAAGGUUUUCGGACUGUAAACUUCUUUUAUUAAGGACGAAAAUUGACGGUACUUAAUGAAUAAGCUCCGGCUAACUACGUGCCAGCAGCCGCGGUAAUACGUAGGGAGCAAGCGUUGUCCGGAUUUACUGGGUGUAAAGGGUGCGUAGGCGGCUUUGCAAGUCAGAUGUGAAAUCUAUGGGCUCAACCCAUAAACUGCAUUUGAAACUGUAGAGCUUGAGUGAAGUAGAGGCAGGCGGAAUUCCCCGUGUAGCGGUGAAAUGCGUAGAGAUGGGGAGGAACACCAGUGGCGAAGGCGGCCUGCUGGGCUUUAACUGACGCUGAGGCACGAAAGCGUGGGUAGCAAACAGGAUUAGAUACCCUGGUAGUCCACGCUGUAAACGAUGAUUACUAGGUGUGGGGGGUCUGACCCCUUCCGUGCCGGAGUUAACACAAUAAGUAAUCCACCUGGGGAGUACGGCCGCAAGGUUGAAACUCAAAGGAAUUGACGGGGGCCCGCACAAGCAGUGGAGUAUGUGGUUUAAUUCGAAGCAACGCGAAGAACCUUACCAGGUCUUGACAUCCAACUAACGAAGUAGAGAUACAUUAGGUGCCCUUCGGGGAAAGUUGAGACAGGUGGUGCAUGGUUGUCGUCAGCUCGUGUCGUGAGAUGUUGGGUUAAGUCCCGCAACGAGCGCAACCCUUGCUAUUAGUUGCUACGCAAGAGCACUCUAAUAGGACUGCCGUUGACAAAACGGAGGAAGGUGGGGACGACGUCAAAUCAUCAUGCCCCUUAUGACCUGGGCUACACACGUACUACAAUGGAUGUUAACAGAGGGAAGCAAGACAGUGAUGUGGAGCAAACCCCUAAAAACAUUCUCAGUUCAGAUUGCAGGCUGCAACCCGCCUGCAUGAAGAUGGAAUUGCUAGUAAUCGCGGAUCAGAAUGCCGCGGUGAAUACGUUCCC
This 1000-nucleotide ribosomal RNA is filed under the name uncultured bacterium. Its description in RNAcentral is "bacterial SSU rRNA". It matches the Rfam family "Bacterial small subunit ribosomal RNA", at positions 355 to 1375 of the family's 1533-position model. The record is from RNAcentral.